Molecule: transfer RNA, 71 nt
Filed under: Santalum album (white sandalwood)
Lineage: Eukaryota; Viridiplantae; Streptophyta; Magnoliopsida; Santalales; Santalaceae
Also listed under: 9 other names
Description: tRNA-Gly
Rfam family: tRNA
About the family: Transfer RNA (tRNA) molecules are approximately 80 nucleotides in length. Their secondary structure includes four short double-helical elements and three loops (D, anti-codon, and T loops).
Source: RNAcentral
GCGGAUAUAGUUUAGUGGUAAAACCCUAGCCUUCCAAGCUAAUGAUGCGGGUUCGAUUCCCGCUAUCCGCU